UACGAAGGGGGCUAGCGUUGUUCGGAAUUACUGGGCGUAAAGCGCACGUAGGCGGGUCGAUUAGGCAGGGGUGAAAGCCCAGAGCUCAACUCUGGAGCUGCCUUUGAUACUGUCGAUCUGGAGCAGAGUAGAGGUGAGUGGAAUUCCGAGUGUAGAGGUGAAAUUCGUAGAUAUUCGGAGGAACACCAGUGGCGAAGGCGGCUCACUGGACUCUUGCUGACGCUGAGGUGCGAAAGCGUGGGGAGCAAACAGG
This 253-nucleotide ribosomal RNA is filed under the name uncultured bacterium. Its description in RNAcentral is "partial 16S ribosomal RNA". It matches the Rfam family "Bacterial small subunit ribosomal RNA", at positions 524 to 776 of the family's 1533-position model. The record is from RNAcentral.